UGGCAAUUGCCUGAAGUCCCAGCUGCUCAGGAGGCUGAGGGUGGGAGAAGAAUCAUUUCGGCUCCAACUGGUGGGAAGCAAAGAGGCCAGAGAAGCAGGCAAGCUAUCUUGGAGCCUCACCUGGAAAUGACACCCAUUUGAGUUCACAACUCACUGACAGGCACCUGGCCACUUGGUCAAACCUGACUGAAACAAGACUGAGCCAUGUAGCGUAACUGUGUGCCUCAGAAAAGAAGGAUGGAUUCAAUGAGGUUGCCCACAGAGAGGAUCACAUGACAGAAACUGGGGAUGCCUUCCAGACACCAGCAAGAAACUGAGACCCUCGGUCUGAAAGUCUACAAGAAACUGAAUUCUGU
Cebus imitator (Panamanian white-faced capuchin) is the source of this 356-nucleotide long non-coding RNA. RefSeq lists it as uncharacterized. The transcript has 3 exons. NCBI's taxonomy places the organism in Eukaryota, Metazoa, Chordata, Mammalia, Primates, Cebidae. The record is from RefSeq and is a predicted model, not a curated record.